This is a long non-coding RNA of Polypterus senegalus (gray bichir), 538 nucleotides long. RefSeq lists it as uncharacterized. The transcript has 3 exons. The record is from RefSeq and is a predicted model, not a curated record. Lineage: Eukaryota; Metazoa; Chordata; Cladistia; Polypteriformes; Polypteridae.
UGCAAAACUAACUGUGUGACGUCAUCAAGUGCAAUGAAAAGUUCAGUUCGUGCGCUGUUUGUGACUCUCUAAAUUUGAACGAUAAACUGGAGGCCGUGAAUUGAGUGAGUUGGCCUUCGCACAUCACUUAGAGGCAGAAGAAUUCCGGCUCCUCUUCAUGUUGGUCUUGUUGAGCUGUCUACAUACACAAGGAAGAAGUAGCUGCCGUUUACUGUAACGCCAAGAUGGAUGUGAAAGAUCAGGUAUGUGAGGCUGACAUAAAGACCAUGGAGAUACCAGCUGUAAAUAUUAAGGAAGAGAGCUGUGAAUGGCAGCCUGUCCACAUCAAACCGGAGAGUCUCUGCAUUAAGGGCGAGGAUCAUGAACUGGUAACGGUGGGUAUUAAAGAAGAAGAUGAGGAGAUGUCUGUCAGCAUUGAGACACACAGACAAAAAUGUAUGCCGUUUGUUCACCUCAAGGUGAGGUAUGACAUAAAGAAGACUGAGGAAAUGCCAUCUGUUAGAAUUCUGGAAAAUCCGCCAUCACCUAUACUGCAGUC